RNAcentral lists this transfer RNA (72 nucleotides) under Ictidomys tridecemlineatus (thirteen-lined ground squirrel). Its description in RNAcentral is "Spermophilus tridecemlineatus (thirteen-lined ground squirrel) tRNA". It matches the Rfam family "tRNA". Rfam says of the family: Transfer RNA (tRNA) molecules are approximately 80 nucleotides in length. Their secondary structure includes four short double-helical elements and three loops (D, anti-codon, and T loops). Further hydrogen bonds mediate the characteristic L-shaped molecular structure. tRNAs have two regions of fundamental functional importance: the anti-codon, which is responsible for specific mRNA codon recognition, and the 3' end, to which the tRNAs corresponding amino acid is attached (by aminoacyl-tRNA synthetases). tRNAs cope with the degeneracy of the genetic code in two manners: having more than one tRNA (with a specific anti-codon) for a particular amino acid; and 'wobble' base-pairing, i.e. permitting non-standard base-pairing at the 3rd anti-codon position. Lineage: Eukaryota; Metazoa; Chordata; Mammalia; Rodentia; Sciuridae. The record is from Rfam by way of RNAcentral.
UGAGGUGUAACUUAGUGGCAAAGUAUUUGCCUAGCAUGUACAAGGCCCUGGGUUCAAUUCCCAGUACUGCAG